This 301-nucleotide ribosomal RNA is filed under the name uncultured bacterium. Its description in RNAcentral is "partial 16S ribosomal RNA". It matches the Rfam family "Bacterial small subunit ribosomal RNA", at positions 509 to 807 of the family's 1533-position model. The record is from RNAcentral.
CAGUCGCCGCGGUAACACGAAGGGUGCAAGCGUUAAUCGGAAUUACUGGGCGUAAAGCGUGCGUAGGCGGUGAGUUAAGUCUGCUGUGAAAUCCCCGGGCUCAACCUGGGAAUGGCAGUGGAUACUGGCUCGCUAGAGUGUGUCAGAGGAUGGUGGAAUUCCCGGUGUAGCGGUGAAAUGCGUAGAGAUCGGGAGGAACAUCAGUGGCGAAGGCGGCCAUCCGGGACAACACUGACGCUGAGGCACGAAAGCGUGGGGAGCAAACAGGAUUAGAUACCCGAGUAGUCCCUGUCUCUUAUAC